GUGCUCGCUUCAGCAGCACAUACACUAAAAUUGGAACGAUACAGAGAAGAUUAGCAUGGCCCCUGUGCAAGGAUGACAUGCAAGUUCGUAAAGCGUUCCAUAUUUUU
Molecule: small nuclear RNA, 107 nt
Filed under: Echinops telfairi (small Madagascar hedgehog)
Lineage: Eukaryota; Metazoa; Chordata; Mammalia; Afrosoricida; Tenrecidae
Source: RNAcentral